CAGGACGAACGCUGGCGGCGUGCCUAAUACAUGCAAGUCGAACGGUCUUUCUAUGGAAGCUUGCUUCCACUGAGAAGAUAGUGGCGAACGGGUGAGUAACACGUGGGUAACCUGCCCAUAAGAGGGGGGAUAACAUCCGGAAACGGGUGCUAAUACCGCAUAGUUUUCUUGAUUGCAUGAUUGAGAAAGGAAAGACGGCCUUUGUGCUGUCGCUUAUGGAUGGACCCGCGGCGUAUUAGUUAGUUGGUGAGGUAACGGCUCACCAAGACGAUGAUACGUAGCCGACCUGAGAGGGUGAUCGGCCACAUUGGGACUGAGACACGGCCCAAACUCCUACGGGAGGCAGCAGUAGGGAAUCUUCCGCAAUGGACGAAAGUCUGACGGAGCAACGCCGCGUGAGUGAAAGAAGGUUUUCGGAUCGUAAAACUCUGUUGUCAGAGAAGAACAAGUUGGAGAGUAACUGCUCCAGCCUUGACGGUAUCUGACCAGAAAGCCACGGCUAACUACGUGCCAGCCGCCGC
Molecule: ribosomal RNA, 521 nt
Filed under: uncultured bacterium
Lineage: Bacteria
Description: bacterial SSU rRNA
Rfam family: Bacterial small subunit ribosomal RNA
Source: RNAcentral